CGACCGGAUCGCCCUUGCCGGCAAUCAGAUAAUUCAGUUUGACGCCGUUGACGUCGGCGGUGCGGUUUUGCGGCGCCGACUGCGCGGACGCGUAGCCGACUGACACGAGAAAGAUGGAUGNCAUUGCCGCGGCGCAGGCCGCGCCGCGAAUGGCUCGCCGGAAAUACAGCAUGCUAAAAAGUUCCUUUUGAGGAUCGGCACGAUCCUGACAAUACAAGGGUGGUUGGCAAGCUCAGAUACUCGGCAGACGCCGUUCAGUAAUAACGCGGGAUCGGACCGUUAUGCG
RNAcentral lists this unclassified non-coding RNA (286 nucleotides) under Hevea brasiliensis (rubber tree). Lineage: Eukaryota; Viridiplantae; Streptophyta; Magnoliopsida; Malpighiales; Euphorbiaceae. The record is from RNAcentral.